CCUACGGGAGGCUGCAGUGGGGAAUAUUGGACAAUGGGCGAAAGCCUGAUCCAGCCAUGCCGCGUGUGUGAAGAAGGCCUUCGGGUUGUAAAGCACUUUCAGUGGGGAAGAAAGCCUUGGGGCUAAUACCCUCGAGGAAGGACAUCACCCACAGAAGAAGCACCGGCUAACUCCGUGCCAGCAGCCGCGGUAAUACGGAGGGUGUGAGCGUUAAUCGGAAUUACUGGGCGUAAAGCGCGCGUAGGCGGUCUGAUAAGCCGGUUGUGAAAGCCCCGGGCUCAACCUGGGAACGGCAUCCGGAACUGUCAGGCUAGAGUGCAGGAGAGGAAGGUAGAAUUCCCGGUGUAGCGGUGAAAUGCGUAGAGAUCGGGAGGAAUACCAGUGGCGAAGGCGGCCUUCUGGACUGACACUGACGCUGAGGUGCGAAAGCGUGGGUAGCAAACAGGAUUAGAUACCCUUGUAGUC
RNAcentral lists this ribosomal RNA (465 nucleotides) under Vreelandella stevensii. RNAcentral describes it as "partial 16S ribosomal RNA". It matches the Rfam family "Bacterial small subunit ribosomal RNA", at positions 338 to 795 of the family's 1533-position model. Lineage: Bacteria; Pseudomonadati; Pseudomonadota; Gammaproteobacteria; Oceanospirillales; Halomonadaceae. The record is from RNAcentral.